Molecule: ribosomal RNA, 323 nt
Filed under: uncultured Pseudomonadota bacterium
Lineage: Bacteria; Pseudomonadati; Pseudomonadota
Description: bacterial SSU rRNA
Rfam family: Bacterial small subunit ribosomal RNA
Source: RNAcentral
AUUGAACGCUGGCGGAAUGCUUUACACAUGCAAGUCGAACGGCAGCACGGGUGCUUGCACCUGGUGGCGAGUGGCGAACGGGUGAGUAAUACAUCGGAACGUACCCAGUUAUGGGGGAUAACUAACCGAAAGGUUAGCUAAUACCGCAUACGCCCUGAGGGGGAAAGCGGGGGACCGUAAGGCCUCGCGUAAUUGGAGCGGCCGAUGCCUGAUUAGCUUGUUGGUGAGGUAAAGGCUCACCAAGGCGACGAUCAGUAGCAGGUCUGAGAGGAUGAUCUGCCACACUGGAACUGAGACACGGUCCAGACUCCUACGGGUGGCAG